AUUCCAGCUCCAAUAGCGUAUAUUAAAGUUGUUGCAGUUAAAAAGCUCGUAGUUGGAUUCCUGGUUAGAGCGGCCGGUCUGGUCCGAAUGGGCUAGUACUUUGAGCUGUCUUUGACCUUCCUUUGGGAGAAUCUGUGUUGUUAUUAAUUUAGCAGUGCAGGGGACCCCAAUCGUUUACUGUGAAAAAAUUAGAGUGUUUAAAGCAGGCAUUUGCUGUGAAUACAUUAGCAUGGAAUAAUAAGAUAGGACUUUGGUGCUAUUUUGUUGGUUUGCACACCAAGGUAAUGAUUAACAGGGACAGUUGGGGGUAUUCGUAUUUAAUUGUCAGAGGUGAAAUUCAUGGAUUUAUGAAAGACGAACUACUGCGAAAGCAUUUACCAAGGAUGUUUUCAUCG
RNAcentral lists this ribosomal RNA (395 nucleotides) under Labyrinthulaceae sp. Its description in RNAcentral is "partial small subunit ribosomal RNA". It matches the Rfam family "Eukaryotic small subunit ribosomal RNA", at positions 582 to 975 of the family's 1831-position model. Lineage: Eukaryota; Bigyra; Labyrinthulida; Labyrinthulaceae. The record is from RNAcentral.